This 214-nucleotide unclassified non-coding RNA is filed under the name Hevea brasiliensis (rubber tree). Lineage: Eukaryota; Viridiplantae; Streptophyta; Magnoliopsida; Malpighiales; Euphorbiaceae. The record is from RNAcentral.
UUCGCGAUGGCGUCAUCCCUCAAUACAACCCAAUCGGGGUCUGAAUCCUGGUAAUUCAGGGACAUGAACGACCAAUGCUCUCUUUCAAAGGAGGGUGAGUUUGGUAAGUUAGGAAUCGUGAUAGAAGAACGAAGAUUUAUUGUUUUUGUGUGAAUCCAGCAGUAAUCCAUGACAUUAACAAGAAAGGCACCAGAGGAGUAGAAAGCAAUCCUGG